AGAGCGAACGCUGGCGGCAGGCCUAAAACAUGCAAGUCGAACGCCGUAGCAAUACGGAGUGGCGGACGGGUGAGUAACACGUGGGAACAUACCCUUUGGUUCGGAACAACACAGGGAAACUUGUGCUAAUACCGGAUAAGCCCUUACGGGGAAAGAUUUAUCGCCAAAGGAUUGGCCCGCGUCUGAUUAGCUAGUUGGUGGGGUAACGCCCACAAGGCUACGAUCAGUAGCUGGUCUGAGAGGAUGAUCAGCCACACUGGGACUGAGACACGGCCCAGACUCCUACGGGAGGCAGCAGUUAGGAAUCUUGGACAAUGGGCGCAAGCCUGAUCCAGCCAUGCCGCGUGAGUGAUGAAGGCCUUAGGGUGUAAAGCUCUUUCAGCGGGAAGAUAAGUGACGGUACCCGCAGAAGAACGCCCCGGCUAACGUUCGUGCCAGCAGCCGC
RNAcentral lists this ribosomal RNA (445 nucleotides) under uncultured soil bacterium. RNAcentral describes it as "bacterial SSU rRNA". It matches the Rfam family "Bacterial small subunit ribosomal RNA", at positions 26 to 518 of the family's 1533-position model. The record is from RNAcentral.